RNAcentral lists this ribosomal RNA (301 nucleotides) under uncultured bacterium. Its description in RNAcentral is "partial 16S ribosomal RNA". It matches the Rfam family "Bacterial small subunit ribosomal RNA", at positions 509 to 807 of the family's 1533-position model. The record is from RNAcentral.
CAGCCGCCACGGUAAUACGAAGGGGGCUAGCGUUGUUCGGAGUUACUGGGCGUAAAGGGAGCGUAGGCGGACAUUUAAGUCAGGGGUGAAAUCCCAGAGCUCAACUCUGGAACUGCCUUUGAUACUGGGUGUCUUGAGUGUGAUAGAGGUAUGUGGAACUCCGAGUGUAGAGGUGAAAUUCGUAGAUAUUCGGAAGAACACCAGUGGCGAAGGCGACAUACUGGAUCAUUACUGACGCUGAGGCUCGAAAGCGUGGGGAGCAAACAGGAUUAGAUACCCCAGUAGUCCCUGUCUCUUAUAC